AUCAUGUAGUCUUGAUGAGCUCCUUUCCAAGUCUUCCCCUUCUUUAUUUGAUUUUGGUGUUGUUUUUGUGUGUGAAAGAGAGAAAAAUGGUAGAGAUGAAGGCUAGGGUUUGGAAUUGGAGUGUUGGGGAAGAUGAAGUGGGUGUGUGUGGUGUUAGAUAUGAAAAGGGAGGAAAAAAUGGGUAUUUGGGGGCUGAAAUCGCGUCUGGGCCCCACCAAAACCAUCAAUUCCGUGUUUCUCCCGCGGUCACGGCCGUGACCGCGGCGUAGGACCGUGGGGGAGCUUUUGGAGAGGCCCGCGGUCGGGCCCGCGGCCGCGGCCCGGACCGCGG
This 331-nucleotide long non-coding RNA is filed under the name Salvia miltiorrhiza (redroot sage). RNAcentral's name for it is "long non-coding RNA (SMIL_LNC001477)". Lineage: Eukaryota; Viridiplantae; Streptophyta; Magnoliopsida; Lamiales; Lamiaceae. The record is from RNAcentral.